RNAcentral lists this ribosomal RNA (460 nucleotides) under uncultured bacterium. Its description in RNAcentral is "partial 16S ribosomal RNA". It matches the Rfam family "Bacterial small subunit ribosomal RNA", at positions 338 to 795 of the family's 1533-position model. The record is from RNAcentral.
CCUACGGGAGGCUGCAGUGAGGAAUAUUGGUCAAUGGGCGCGAGCCUGAACCAGCCAUGUAGCGUGAAGGAUGACUGCCCUACGGGUUGUAAACUGCUUUUAUAAAGGAAUAAACGCAGGCACGCGUGCCUUUUUGUAUGUACUUUAUGAAUAAGGAUCGGCUAACUCCGUGCCAGCAGCCGCGGUAAUACGGAGGAUUCGAGCGUUAUCCGGAUUUAUUGGGUUUAAAGGGUGCGUAGACGGUUUGAUAAGUCAGUGGUGAAAUUUUGAGGCUCAACCUUAAAAUUGCAAUUGAUACUGGUCGUCUUGAGAAUAGUUGAGGUAGGCGGAAUGCGUGGUGUAGCGGUGAAAUGCUUAGAGAUCACGCAGAACACCGAUUGCGAAGGCAGCUUACUAAGCUGCCACUGACAUUGAUGCUCGAAAGUGUGGGUAGCAAACAGGAUUAGAUACCCUAGUAGUC